Molecule: non-coding RNA, 425 nt
Filed under: Candidatus Nanosalina sp. J07AB43
Lineage: Archaea; Methanobacteriati; Methanobacteriota; Candidatus Nanohaloarchaea
Description: Archaeal small subunit ribosomal RNA
Rfam family: Archaeal small subunit ribosomal RNA
Source: Rfam by way of RNAcentral
CUGGUUGAUCCUGCCAGAGACUACCGCUAUCGGAGUCCGAUUUAGCCAUGCUAGUCCACCGAGUCUUUGACUUGGGGCAUAUAGCUGAGUAACACGUGGCUAACCUGCCCUGUGGAUGGGUAUAACCUCGCUAACGUGAGGCUAAUACCCAAUAUCAGAUGAGGAUGGAAGCAAUCUUCAUCUGUGAAACGUUCUGACGCCACAGGAUGGGGCCGCGGCUGAUUAGGUGUUGGUGAGGUAACGGCUCACCAAGCCGAUAUCAGUAGCAGGGUGAGAGCCGAGCUGUCAGUCGCAUCUGAGACAGAUGCCGGACCCUACGGGUGCAGCAGCACGAAACUUCACAAUGCACGCAGUGCGAUGGGGGNNNNNNNNNNNNNNNNNNNNGCACGUUACUUCCCUGCCCAAACUCUAUCUGAGCUGCGGAU